UCGGAAACCUGAGCCCUGGCCCUGCCAGACUGUUUCCCAUAGACCGAGAAUCUGUGCUCGAGGACCCUGGGCUGAUGGGUGCCCACCUCUGCUCAGAGGCUGGAACACAAAAGCACUGCAGUCUGUCCAGUUCUGCCCAGGUCAAGGCUUGCUUCUCCUGGCGUCCCAAGGCCUCCUUCUCCUGCUGAGGGACAUAGGCAACCACUCUGGGAAGCUCCCUCCUCCCGGGCUGCCCAGCCAGUUGGUCUCUGGCUGCCCUCCAGGAAGCAGAUGGGCAGUGACUGUGCCUCCCCCACAGCCCUGCCCAGAAUGGGUCCCACCCCAGUCAGCCUGGUCUGGCUGCCCCAGCAACGGGGAGGGGCCAGAGCUGUUGGCCCGGAAGAACGCAUGUCUGCUGGUCACCAAGGAUCACAGGGUGAGCAGGACACACUCCAGGUCCCUGACUCCAGAGGGUCAGUUCCACUUCCCACAGGGGCCCUCAGGGUGGCACAGGUUGGGGGCAUUGCCUCAGGGACUCCCCCCCCCCUUAGGGCAGCAGUGAGGAACAGGGCUCCCAGCAUACCCAAGGGACAGGACAGGUGACCCAGGGCAGGGCUCUGCCAGGACCAGUACAGAGGUCCCCAGGCACCUGCCACUUGGCCUCAUAAGCUCAUUUCUGGUAGCUUACCUGUGGCCAAUGGGGUCAAGGAUGCAUUCCCCUGUGCCUAAUCGGAUGUACCUCCUCCAGACCUCGGGACUUAGAGAGGAGACGGCUGCCCGGGAGGGACUUCCCCUCCCUGCUGCCAAGUGGACGCCUGCAGAAAGUCCCUUGGAUUCAAGGCCCCUGUGGACUCUGCUCUGGCUUUCAAUGCACUGACCUCAGACCCUUCUCCAGCCCCAGCCCUGCGGUGCUGUGGGGAGCUGCUGAGUCCCCUUCUGUCUCAGGAUGAGGAGGUUACUCUGGGAAGGAGGGGCUUCACAAGCGCUGUAGACUCCCUGUGGGAAAUGAGGUCAGAGAGGCAGAGGGGAACAGGGCCACCUUGGCCAGCUCCUUGGCCAGGCCACCCCAGGCUAGAGCAAUAAGCAUUGAAGAUGCCUGGAUGCAACCAGCCCUUCUGUCACCGCCAGUAAUUUCCACCCCUGGACUGGCUUUAGACAGGGCCCCGACGCAUGGGCGCUGCUGUCCUUUGGUUUGUCACACCCUCCUAAGGUGGGAGGACUGAGGCCCAGGAGGCAUGGUAGGAGUCAGACCCAGGACAGGCGAAGUGGGCUCCCCACCCGCCUCCACACAGGUCUCUGGGGGCUCCUAGGGCGGGGGGGGUGCGGGGGCAGGUAGAUCAGAGAGGCCCGUGGAAGGCGGCGAGAGUUCCCUAAGGAGACCAGGUCCAGGCUGGCCCACGGUCACUCAUCCCUCGUCCCCACCCUCGACCCUACCCUGUCCCGCAG
Molecule: long non-coding RNA, 1425 nt
Filed under: Heterocephalus glaber (naked mole-rat)
Lineage: Eukaryota; Metazoa; Chordata; Mammalia; Rodentia; Bathyergidae
Description: lncRNA (ENSHGLG00000044947.1)
Source: RNAcentral